UUAAGUUUUGUUAUUUAGAAAAUGAAAGUAGAAAACGUGUCAAAGAGUUUGAUGAGGUGACAUCCGACGUAAUUUGCAUUUUUGUUAAUUUAUAUCGUGCCGUGACAUUGUACGCAUUUAGCUCAGUACGUGGCAAAGAGAUUAACAGGCACACUUGUGCAAAAAAAUUCAAGACAUCAUAUUUCGGAGAUUAUUUUCAAUCGAUCACAGAUUACAGUCUCCUUUUAGCAAUGCGACAAUUAAAAGGAAAAGUGAAGGAAAACAGAAAAGAGAAAAGGGAAAGAAAGAUGGAAAACAAAAGAAACCAUGACAAUGUCCUAAAGAUUUGUCUUCCAGUGUUUGGGGUGAUCAUAGCCAUAAUUGUGGCAUAUGUUUAUGUUUCUACAAGACCAAAAGGAUAAUUUCAUCAUUAUUCAAUUUAAGAAAUAUGGAGUAUUUGAAAAGGAGAAGACUUUUUAAAAUUAUAUUCUUUUAGAUAGAGCAAAUACAAUGUAUUAAGAACAAAUUUCAUUGUAAAUUUUUUUAUCUUUCAAUUGGUUUACUGGUAAAUAUUGUUGUAUGAUUUGUAUGAAAAAUGCUAAGGUGCUGCAAAUCUUCUAGGUAUUAACAUUUAUCAGGUGCCUUUUAGUAUUAGAAUCUUUCAGCAUAUUGUCAUUAUUGUGUUAUCCUAUACUACAGCAACAGUUGAAAAUUUUCAUAAAUUAUUAUUAUAUGUUCGUCUUCCACCCAGUACAAUACAUUUCAGCUGCAGUAUUUUUUAAAAGUUUGCUCAAUGACAGGUUGUUUUGGUUCUUUUUUUUUUAAUCGUUUUUGAUUUACCUGUACUUUUUAUUGGCCAGUUUCUCCAACAUAUGUUUUUUUUUUAUUUAGUGUAAAACACACCAUGACAAAGCAAUAAGUCUGUUUAUUUUAUAGUAGAAAACAGUAAUGUGCAUUUGUUUUACUAUAUAGGUACUUAAUAGGUUCUAUGAUAAUUGUAAUAUGACACAUAUCAUUUGCAUGCCAGGUACAUUUAUGUAACUUAGGAAUGCCCAAUUUCUGACAUUAUGAAUCUCUUAUUAUUCAUGUACCAGGGUACAUACUAUUAGUACAUUGUUUAAAUACAAUACCUGUAUACAUGUAGUACAAUUCUUUAACAACGAAGGGUCUUCUGAUCAAAGAAUUUGGAACAAAUAUGAUGAUCAAUGCUCAUGAAACAAGAUGAGAUUACAACUAUAUAUUCAAAAUGUAUUUAUUCCAGUUAUUGCAAUAUAGAGUAAGAUGUUUAUAUUUAUGUUUAAAAUAGCUAUAUAAAUAUAUAUUUUGUUUACCUGGUACUUGUUUGUGGGAAUGGGCUGUCUUGUCUACAGUUACUGUGCAUUGAAUCUUGUUGUGAUGUUUGAAAAUUUUAUCGUUUUUUAUUUUAUUCAUUAAUGUUCAUUUAUUAAUUAUUGUUCUAAAUCAAUAAAGUUAAAAUUACAUCAAAUAUUUGAAUGCUGUUCUCUUUGAAAGUGUAGCUAGAAAAUCGAGCACAUGCACCAUACACUUUUCUACUUUUGCAUCAAUUCACAGCAUAGUUUAUUGCAUAUUACCGGU
Molecule: long non-coding RNA, 1575 nt
Organism: Magallana angulata
Lineage: Eukaryota; Metazoa; Mollusca; Bivalvia; Ostreida; Ostreidae
Exons: 3
Source: RefSeq, a predicted model, not a curated record